Molecule: unclassified non-coding RNA, 1559 nt
Filed under: Hevea brasiliensis (rubber tree)
Lineage: Eukaryota; Viridiplantae; Streptophyta; Magnoliopsida; Malpighiales; Euphorbiaceae
Source: RNAcentral
AAGGAUAAAGAUUUAGGCAAGUCAUAAUGAGAUAAGUGUAAAAUCUGGUGGAAGUUGCCUAUAUAAUUAACACACAAACUGCAAACGUCUACCAGCCAGUCAACGCUCAUAUGUAUUAAGAGCGCAUAUGAAGAACCUACAAUUAUUGUUUUAGCAAAUUUUCAUAUCCUUAUUUCUCCCAAUCCUCCAUCAUGAAAAAUUUCAUCACCUGUCUCCCAUUUUUCCUUGUUUUUGGCUUCACUGGGGCAGUGUCUGCAACUUCUCUACAGUUUGACUCAGUUUUCAACUUUGGUGACUCUCUUAGUGACACUGGAAAUUUCCUUCUUUCUGGUGCCUUGGCAUUUCCUGUCAUUGGAAAGCUCCCUUAUGGCGAAACCUUCUUUCGCCACCCAACAGGGAGGUGCUCCGAUGGACGUCUAGUUAUCGAUUUCAUUGCUGAGGCAGCUGGGUUGCCAUAUUUGCCACCCUUUCUAGGGCUUGGCAAAGGCCAAGAUUUCAAAUAUGGCGUGAAUUUUGCGGUUGCAGGAGCCACUGCACUUGACUCUAAAUUUUUCUAUGAGCAUAAUAUUGGGCAAAUUUUGUGGACUAACGAUUCACUGAGUGUUCAGCUUGACUGGUUCAAGAAGUUGAAGCCUUCCCUUUGCCCUACUAAACAAGGUGACGGUGACAGACACCUAAUUAAUACACACAUCUAUUAAGUUCCCGUAACAUUUUUCCUUUUCCUUCUUUUUUUCACCAGAAUGUGAUAAAUACUUCAACAAAUCACUAUUUGUUGUGGGAGAAAUCGGUGGAAAUGACUAUAACUAUGCCUCUUUUGUCGGUGGGAGCAUUAAACAACUUCGUGCUUCUGUACCACUCGUUGUUCAAGCAGUAGCUGGAGCUGCCACACUAUUGAUAGAGGAAGGUGCAGUAGAAUUAUUGGUGCCAGGGAAUUUGCCAAUCGGAUGCUCAGCAGUGUACCUGACCUUGUUUCAAAGCCCUAACAAAGAAGAUUAUGAUAAACAUGGGUGCUUGAAAGCCUACAAUGCUUUCUCCAAGUACCAUAAUAAACAGCUCAAAGGAGCCCUGGAGAUCCUCAGACUCAAGUACCCACAUGCAAGGAUUAUUUAUGCUGAUUAUUACGCUGCAGCCAAGCGUAUCAAUCACUCACCAAAUCGUUACGGAUUUUACAAUGGAGUCCUAAGAGCCUGUUGUGGAGGGGGUGGACCAUACAAUUUCAACAAUUCAGCAAGGUGUGGUCACAUAGGUUCAAAAGCAUGUGAAAAUCCAUCCACUUACGCAAAUUGGGAUGGAAUUCACUUGACAGAAGCUGCAUAUAAGAUUAUAGCCAAGGGUUUGAUCUAUGGCCCUUUUUCUAGACCACCACUUAGAAAAUUUUCCCUGUAAACUCCUUCGGUGUUAUCGUAACUACAAAUAAAAAGAGUACGCACCGCCCACUGCCUAGUCUUUGUACUUUUCUAUUCUUUCUAUCACCAAUAAAAUUUUCUUAUCAAGAAAUCACUUCAUUUAAUUCGACUAUCCUUUCAGUAUUUGCACCGACAAGAAUGAUGCACACAGAG